UGGGGAAUAUUGCACAAUGGGCGAAAGCCUGAUGCAGCAACGCCGCGUGAGUGAUGAAGGCCUUCGGGUUGUAAAGCUCUGUCUUUUGGGACGAUAAUGACGGUACCAAAGGAGGAAGCCACGGCUAACUACGUGCCAGCAGCCGCGGUAAUACGUAGGUGGCAAGCGUUGUCCGGAUUUACUGGGCGUAAAGGAUGCGUAGGCGGAUUUUUAAGUGAGAUGUGAAAUACCCGGGCUUAACUUGGGUGCUGCAUUUCAAACUGGGAAUCUAGAGUGCGGGAGAGGAGAAUGGAAUUCCUAGUGUAGCGGUGAAAGUGCGUAGAGAUUAGGAAGAACACCAGUGGCGAAGGCGAUUCUCUGGACCGUAACUGACGCUGAGGCAUGAAAGCGUGGGUAGCAAACAGGAUUAGAUACCCUGGUAGUCCACGCCGUAAACGAUGAGUACUAGGUGUAGGAGGUAUCGACCCCUUCUGUGCCGCAGUUAACACAAUCAAGUACUCCGCCUGGGAAGUACGAUCGCAAGAUU
Molecule: ribosomal RNA, 526 nt
Filed under: uncultured bacterium
Lineage: Bacteria
Description: partial 16S ribosomal RNA
Rfam family: Bacterial small subunit ribosomal RNA
Source: RNAcentral